Molecule: ribosomal RNA, 656 nt
Filed under: Pseudoalteromonas sp.
Lineage: Bacteria; Pseudomonadati; Pseudomonadota; Gammaproteobacteria; Alteromonadales; Pseudoalteromonadaceae
Description: bacterial SSU rRNA
Rfam family: Bacterial small subunit ribosomal RNA
Source: RNAcentral
AGCCUGAUGCAGCCAUGCCGCGUGUGUGAAGAAGGCCUUCGGGUUGUAAAGCACUUUCAGUCAGGAGGAAAGGUUAGUAGUUAAUACCUGCUAGCUGUGACGUUACUGACAGAAGAAGCACCGGCUAACUCCGUGCCAGCAGCCGCGGUAAUACGGAGGGUGCGAGCGUUAAUCGGAAUUACUGGGCGUAAAGCGUACGCAGGCGGUUUGUUAAGCGAGAUGUGAAAGCCCCGGGCUCAACCUGGGAACUGCAUUUCGAACUGGCAAACUAGAGUGUGAUAGAGGGUGGUAGAAUUUCAGGUGUAGCGGUGAAAUGCGUAGAGAUCUGAAGGAAUACCGAUGGCGAAGGCAGCCACCUGGGUCAACACUGACGCUCAUGUACGAAAGCGUGGGGAGCAAACAGGAUUAGAUACCCUGGUAGUCCACGCCGUAAACGAUGUCUACUAGAAGCUCGGAACUUCGGUUCUGUUUUUCAAAGCUAACGCAUUAAGUAGACCGCCUGGGGAGUACGGCCGCAAGGUUAAAACUCAAAUGAAUUGACGGGGGCCCGCACAAGCGGUGGAGCAUGUGGUUUAAUUCGAUGCAACGCGAAGAACCUUACCUACACUUGACAUACAGAGAACUUACCAGAGAUGGUUUGGUGCCUUCGGGAACUC